GGGGGAGCGCCAGAUCCUGGGCUGUGUCCCUGAUGCUCUGGGCUCUGGAGUUGUGCUGUUGGAAUCGCGAUCCGGGGUGCAGCCCCCU
RNAcentral lists this microRNA precursor (88 nucleotides) under Canis lupus dingo (dingo). RNAcentral describes it as "mir-8799 microRNA precursor family". It matches the Rfam family "mir-8799 microRNA precursor family". The record is from Rfam by way of RNAcentral. Lineage: Eukaryota; Metazoa; Chordata; Mammalia; Carnivora; Canidae.